This 560-nucleotide ribosomal RNA is filed under the name uncultured fungus. RNAcentral's name for it is "eukaryotic LSU rRNA". It matches the Rfam family "Eukaryotic large subunit ribosomal RNA", at positions 78 to 654 of the family's 3401-position model. Lineage: Eukaryota; Fungi. The record is from RNAcentral.
CCCUAGUAACUGCGAGUGAAGCGGGAUAAGCUCAAAUUUAAAAUCUGAUGGUUCCGCCGUCCGAGUUGUAGUCUGGAGAAGCGUUUUCCGCAUUGGACCAUGUACAAGUCUCUUGGAAUAGAGCGUCGUAGAGGGUGAGAAUCCCGUCUUUGACAUGGACUCCCAAUGCUUUUGUGAUGCGCUCUCAAAGAGUCGAGUUGUUUGGGAAUGCAGCUCAAAAUGGGUGGUAAAUUCCAUCUAAAGCUAAAUAUUGGCGAGAGACCGAUAGCAAACAAGUACCGUGAGGGAAAGAUGAAAAGCACUUUGGAAAGAGAGUUAAACAGUACGUGAAAUUGUUGAAAGGGAAACGCUUGAAGUCAGUCGCAUUGUUGAAGACUCAGCCUAGCUUUGCUUGGUGUAUUUCUUCCUCAAUGGGUCAGCAUCAAUUUGAGUCAUUGGAAAAGGAUCACUGGAAUGUGGCAUCUCUCGGGAUGUGUUAUAGCUUGUGAAUCGUAUACAGUGGCUUGGAUUGAGGAUCUCUAUUACAGGAUGCUGGCAUAAUGGCUUUAAGCGACCCGUCU